RNAcentral lists this ribosomal RNA (253 nucleotides) under uncultured bacterium. Its description in RNAcentral is "partial 16S ribosomal RNA". It matches the Rfam family "Bacterial small subunit ribosomal RNA", at positions 524 to 776 of the family's 1533-position model. The record is from RNAcentral.
UACGUAGGGACCAAGCGUUGUUCGGAUUUAUUGGGCGUAAAGAGCUCGUAGGCGGCUUGUCGCGUCGAAUGUGAAAUCUCAGGGCUCAACUCUGACAUUGCAUUCGAUACGGGCAGGCUAGAGUUCGGUAGGGGAGACUGGAAUUCCUGGUGUAGCGGUGAAAUGCGCAGAUAUCAGGAGGAACACCGGUGGCGAAGGCGGGUCUCUGGGCCGAUACUGACGCUGAGGAGCGAAAGCGUGGGGAGCGAACAGG